UUAAGCGACUAAGCGUACACGGUGGAUGCCCUGGCAGUCAGAGGCGAUGAAGGACGUGCUGAUCUGCGAUAAGCGUCGGUGAGGUGAUAUGAACCGUUAUAACCGGCGAUUUUCCGAAUGGGGAAACCCAGUGUGUUUCGACACACUAUCAUUAACUGAAUCCAUAGGUUAAUGAGGCGAACCGGGGGAACUGAAACAUCUAAGUACCCCAGGAAAAGAAAUCAACCGAGAUUCCCCCAGUAGCGGCGAGCGAACGGGGAGGAGCGCAGAGCCUGAAUCAGUGUGUGUGUUAGUGGAAGCGUCUGGAAAGGCGCGCGAUACAGGGUGACAGCCCCGUACACAAAAAUGCACAUAUUGUGAGCUCGAUGAGUAGGGCGGGACACGUGGUAUCCUGUCUGAAUAUGGGGGGACCAUCCUCCAAGGCUAAAUACUCCUGACUGACCGAUAGUGAACCAGUACCGUGAGGGAAAGGCGAAAAGAACCCCGGCGAGGGGAGUGAAAAAGAACCUGAAACCGUGUACGUACAAGCAGUGGGAGCCUCUUAAUGGGGUGACUGCUACCUUUUGUAUAAUGGGUCAGCGACUUAUAUUCUGUAGCAAGGUUAACCGAAUAGGGGAGCCGAAGGGAAACCGAGUCUUAACUGGGCGUUAAGUUGCAGGGUAUAGACCCGAAACCCGGUGAUCUAGCCAUGGGCAGGUUGAAGGUUGGGUAACACUAACUGGAGGACCGAACCGACUAAUGUUGAAAAAUUAGCGGAUGACUUGUGGCUGGGGGUGAAAGGCCAAUCAAACCGGGAGAUAGCUGGUUCUCCCCGAAAGCUAUUUAGGUAGCGCCUCGUGAAUUCAUCUCCGGGGGUAGAGCACUGUUUCGGCAAGGGGGUCAUCCCGACUUACCAACCCGAUGCAAACUGCGAAUACCGGAGAAUGUUAUCACGGGAGACACACGGCGGGUGCUAACGUCCGUCGUGAAGAGGGAAACAACCCAGACCGCCAGCUAAGGUCCCAAAGUCAUGGUUAAGUGGGAAACGAUGUGGGAAGGCCCAGACAGCCAGGAUGUUGGCUUAGAAGCAGCCAUCAUUUAAAGAAAGCGUAAUAGCUCACUGGUCGAGUCGGCCUGCGCGGAAGAUGUAACGGGGCUAAACCAUGCACCGAAGCUGCGGCAGCGACACUAUGUGUUGUUGGGUAGGGGAGCGUUCUGUAAGCCUGUGAAGGUGGCCUGUGAGGGUUGCUGGAGGUAUCAGAAGUGCGAAUGCUGACAUAAGUAACGAUAAAGCGGGUGAAAAGCCCGCUCGCCGGAAGACCAAGGGUUCCUGUCCAACGUUAAUCGGGGCAGGGUGAGUCGACCCCUAAGGCGAGGCCGAAAGGCGUAGUCGAUGGGAAACAGGUUAAUAUUCCUGUACUUGGUGUUACUGCGAAGGGGGGACGGAGAAGGCUAUGUUGGCCGGGCGACGGUUGUCCCGGUUUAAGCGUGUAGGCUGGUAUUCCAGGCAAAUCCGGAAAACCAAGGCUGAGGCGUGAUGACGAGGCACUACGGUGCUGAAGUGACAAAUGCCCUGCUUCCAGGAAAAGCCUCUAAGCAUCAGGUAACAUCAAAUCGUACCCCAAACCGACACAGGUGGUCAGGUAGAGAAUACCAAGGCGCUUGAGAGAACUCGGGUGAAGGAACUAGGCAAAAUGGUGCCGUAACUUCGGGAGAAGGCACGCUGAUAUGUAGGUGAAGCGACUUGCUCGUGGAGCUGAAAUCAGUCGAAGAUACCAGCUGGCUGCAACUGUUUAUUAAAAACACAGCACUGUGCAAACACGAAAGUGGACGUAUACGGUGUGACGCCUGCCCGGUGCCGGAAGGUUAAUUGAUGGGGUUAGCGGCAACGCGAAGCUCUUGAUCGAAGCCCCGGUAAACGGCGGCCGUAACUAUAACGGUCCUAAGGUAGCGAAAUUCCUUGUCGGGUAAGUUCCGACCUGCACGAAUGGCGUAAUGAUGGCCAGGCUGUCUCCACCCGAGACUCAGUGAAAUUGAACUCGCUGUGAAGAUGCAGUGUACCCGCGGCAAGACGGAAAGACCCCGUGAACCUUUACUAUAGCUUGACACUGAACAUUGAGCCUUGAUGUGUAGGAUAGGUGGGAGGCUUUGAAGUGUGGACGCCAGUCUGCAUGGAGCCGGCCUUGAAAUACCACCCUUUAAUGUUUGAUGUUCUAACGUGGGCCCCUUACCGGGGUUGCGGACAGUGUCUGGUGGGUAGUUUGACUGGGGCGGUCUCCUCCUAAAGAGUAACGGAGGAGCACGAAGGUUGGCUAAUCCUGGUCGGACAUCAGGAGGUUAGUGCAAUGGCAUAAGCCAGCUUGACUGCGAGCGUGACGGCGCGAGCAGGUGCGAAAGCAGGUCAUAGUGAUCCGGUGGUUCUGAAUGGAAGGGCCAUCGCUCAACGGAUAAAAGGUACUCCGGGGAUAACAGGCUGAUACCGCCCAAGAGUUCAUAUCGACGGCGGUGUUUGGCACCUCGAUGUCGGCUCAUCACAUCCUGGGGCUGAAGUAGGUCCCAAGGGUAUGGCUGUUCGCCAUUUAAAGUGGUACGCGAGCUGGGUUUAGAACGUCGUGAGACAGUUCGGUCCCUAUCUGCCGUGGGCGCUGGAGAACUGAGGGGGGCUGCUCCUAGUACGAGAGGACCGGAGUGGACGCAUCACUGGUGUUCGGGUUGUCAUGCCAAUGGCACUGCCCGGUAGCUAAAUGCGGAAGAGAUAAGUGCUGAAAGCAUCUAAGCACGAAACUUGCCCCGAGAUGAGUUCUCCCUGACCCUUUAAGGGUCCUGAAGGAACGUUGAAGACGACGACGUUGAUAGGCCGGGUGUGUAAGCGCAGCGAUGCGUUGAGCUAACCGGUACUAAUGAACCGUGAGGCUUAACCUU
This 2901-nucleotide ribosomal RNA is filed under the name Escherichia coli DEC1D. RNAcentral's name for it is "bacterial LSU rRNA". It matches the Rfam family "Bacterial large subunit ribosomal RNA". Lineage: Bacteria; Pseudomonadati; Pseudomonadota; Gammaproteobacteria; Enterobacterales; Enterobacteriaceae. The record is from RNAcentral.